AUGCAGUCGAGCGGUAGCACAGAGAGCUUGCUCUCGGGUGACGAGCGGCGGACGGGUGAGUAAUGUCUGGGAAACUGCCUGAUGGAGGGGGAUAACUACUGGAAACGGUAGCUAAUACCGCAUAACGUCGCAAGACCAAAGUGGGGGACCUUCGGGCCUCAUGCCAUCAGAUGUGCCCAGAUGGGAUUAGCUAGUAGGUGGGGUAACGGCUGACCUAGCCGACGAUCCCUAGCUGGUCUGAGAGGAUGACCAGCCACACUGGAACUGAGACACGGUCCAGACUCCUACGGGAGGCAGCAGUGGGGAAUAUUGCACAAUGGGCGCAAGCCUGAUGCAGCCAUGCCGCGUGUGUGAAGAAGGCCUUCGGGUUGUAAAGCACUUUCAGCGGGGAGGAAGGCGAUAAGGUUAAUAACCUUGUCGAUUGACGUUACCCGCAGAAGAAGCACCGGCUAACUCCGUGCCAGCAGCCGCGGUAAUACGGAGGGUGCAAGCGUUAAUCGGAAUUACUGGGCGUAAAGCGCACGCAGGCGGUCUGUCAAGUCGGAUGUGAAAUCCCCGGGCUCAACCUGGGAACUGCAUUCGAAACUGGCAGGCUAGAGUCUUGUAGAGGGGGGUAGAAUUCCAGGUGUAGCGGUGAAAUGCGUAGAGAUCUGGAGGAAUACCGGUGGCGAAGGCGGCCCCCUGGACAAAGACUGACGCUCAGGUGCGAAAGCGUGGGGAGCAAACAGGAUUAGAUACCCUGGUAGUCCACGCCGUAAACGAUGUCGAUUUGGAGGUUGUGCCCUUGAGGCGUGGCUUCCGGAGCUAACGCGUUAAAUCGACCGCCUGGGGAGUACGGCCGCAAGGUUAAAACUCAAAUGAAUUGACGGGGGCCCGCACAAGCGGUGGAGCAUGUGGUUUAAUUCGAUGCAACGCGAAGAACCUUACCUGGUCUUGACAUCCACAGAACUUAGCAGAGAUGCUUUGGUGCCUUCGGGAACUGUGAGACAGGUGCUGCAUGGCUGUCGUCAGC
This 1012-nucleotide ribosomal RNA is filed under the name Klebsiella pneumoniae. Its description in RNAcentral is "bacterial SSU rRNA". It matches the Rfam family "Bacterial small subunit ribosomal RNA", at positions 55 to 1059 of the family's 1533-position model. Lineage: Bacteria; Pseudomonadati; Pseudomonadota; Gammaproteobacteria; Enterobacterales; Enterobacteriaceae. The record is from RNAcentral.